AGAGUUUGAUCAUGGCUCAGAAUCAACGCUGGCGGCGUGCCUAACACAUGCAAGUCGAACGCGAAAGCCCCGCAAGGGGUAAGUAGAGUGGCAAACGGGUGAGUAACACGUGGGUGACCUGCCUUCGAGUGGGGGAUAACGUCCCGAAAGGGACGCUAAUACCGCAUGACAUCCUGCUUUUGGAAAAGCGGAGAUCAAAGCUGGGGAUCGUAAGACCUGGCGCUCGAAGAGGGGCCCGCGCCUGAUUAGCUAGUUGGUGGGGUAACGGCCUACCAAGGCGACGAUCAGUAUCCGGCCUGAGAGGGCGGACGGACACACUGGGACUGAGACACGGCCCAGACUCCUACGGGAGGCAGCAGUGGGGAAUUGUUCGCAAUGGGCGCAAGCCUGACGACGCAACGCCGCGUGGAGGACGAAGAUCUUCGGGUCGUAAACUCCUGUCGAGUGGGAAGAACGCUUCGGGGGCGAAUAUCCUCCGGAAUUGACGGUACCACUAAAGGAAGCCCCGGCUAACUCCGUGCCAGCAGCCGCGGUA
This 535-nucleotide ribosomal RNA is filed under the name uncultured Acidobacteriota bacterium. RNAcentral describes it as "bacterial SSU rRNA". It matches the Rfam family "Bacterial small subunit ribosomal RNA", at positions 8 to 522 of the family's 1533-position model. The record is from RNAcentral. Lineage: Bacteria; Pseudomonadati; Acidobacteriota.